UCCGUAGCUGGUCUGAGAGGAUGAUCAGCCACACUGGAACUGAGACACGGUCCAGACUCCUACGGGAGGCAGCAGUGGGGAAUAUUGGACAAUGGGCGCAAGCCUGAUCCAGCCAUACCGCGUGGGUGAAGAAGGCCUUCGGGUUGUAAAGCCCUUUUGUUGGGAAAGAAAUCCAGCCGGCUAAUACCCGGUUGGGAUGACGGUACCCAAAGAAUAAGCACCGGCUAACUUCGUGCCAGCAGCCGCGGUAAUACGAAGGGUGCAAGCGUUACUCGGAAUUACUGGGCGUAAAGCGUGCGUAGGUGGUCGUUUAAGUCCGUUGUGAAAGCCCUGGGCUCAACCUGGGAACUGCAGUGGAUACUGGGCGACUAGAGUGUGGUAGAGGGUAGCGGAAUUCCUGGUGUAGCAGUGAAAUGCGUAGAGAUCAGGAGGAACAUCCAUGGCGAAGGCAGCUACCUGGACCAAC
This 466-nucleotide ribosomal RNA is filed under the name Pseudomonas sp. RNAcentral's name for it is "bacterial SSU rRNA". It matches the Rfam family "Bacterial small subunit ribosomal RNA", at positions 280 to 738 of the family's 1533-position model. The record is from RNAcentral. Lineage: Bacteria; Pseudomonadati; Pseudomonadota; Gammaproteobacteria; Pseudomonadales; Pseudomonadaceae.